UGUCGGAGAGCUAUAUAUUACAUACAACUUUCAACAACGGAUCUCUUGGCUUUCGCAUCGAUGAAGAACGCAGCGAAAGUGCGAAACGUAAUGUGAAUUGCAGAAUUCAGUGAAUCAUCGAAUCUUUGAACGCAUCUUGCGCUCUUCGGUAUUCCGAGGAGCAUGCCUGUUUGAGUGUCGUGACAAUCUCUCGACCUUCCCCUCGCGCUCGCGUUCGGAGGGUCGGAUUUUGGACGUUGCCGUCUUUCAUCGAAGAAGGCUCGUCUCGAAAUGCAUUAGCCUCGUUCCGGCCUCGGUCCUUCCAACAAGACGAUAUGGCGCGAUAAUGAAAAAACUCGCUGGCGUCGGUGUCGGGCCUUGGACGGGGUGGGCUCACAGUCGUCUCCGGACAAUUUCCCUCGAUCUGACCUCAAAUCAGGUAGGACUACCCGCUGAACUUAAGCAUAUCAAUAAGCGGAGGAAAGGAAACUAACAAGGAUUCCCCUAGUAACGGCGAGUGAAGCGGGAAGAGCUCAAAUUUGUAAUCUGGCGGUCUCAG
RNAcentral lists this ribosomal RNA (538 nucleotides) under uncultured Hysterangium. RNAcentral describes it as "eukaryotic LSU rRNA". The stretch from base 26 to 180 matches the Rfam family "5.8S ribosomal RNA". The record is from RNAcentral. Lineage: Eukaryota; Fungi; Basidiomycota; Agaricomycetes; Hysterangiales; Hysterangiaceae.